Molecule: long non-coding RNA, 714 nt
Organism: Phyllopteryx taeniolatus (common seadragon)
Lineage: Eukaryota; Metazoa; Chordata; Actinopteri; Syngnathiformes; Syngnathidae
Exons: 3
Source: RefSeq, a predicted model, not a curated record
UUCCAGGGGGAACACGCACCAAAAAACAGACAUGUCAUGUAACAGUCAGCCUUAUCUUUAUCUGUGUUUUACUGUUUUGAUGAAUGUUCGGAUGUUUUUCUACAGCACCCAGUGAGGCUUCGACUAAACAAGAGCUGCUUGCUUUGGAGCGGCUUGCACUAUCGCCUCCCACUUCACACAGACCUGCUGGGAAUCCCAGCAUCCCGGCAACAGCAGUUCUCACAGGUUACCUUUGUGUCCCCUUAUCAGCAGGCAAAAGUUGUCCAACAGGGCAAUGCUGCUCAAGAAUACAAAUGAAGACGAACAGCUUUACACAUACAGACACACCUGUCGUGUGUGCCAUCAACACGUCUCUCUCCAGAGUGAGCAGACAUAAAGCCAGCCAACCUGUUGGAGUGAAUAGACUGUGGACAUCUGAGAGCACCUUCUGUCAGGGAAACAGCUAGUCUGCUGGUGGGAAGGUGGCUCUGACAGAAAAACACAAACCUCUGAAAUCAACAUUCUUCUGUGGUCAUUUUCAAGCUACGCAACCUAUGACAGAGGAGUUUGAAAUGCCAGGUAGGGAGAUGGUCAUUGAUGCUAAUGUAUGUUUACAUGUUGUUGUUUUUUUAACCUCGGUUCUAACUCAGUGCACAACUCCUAUUACUAUUGUAACAAUGAUAUUAUAUUGUAAUCUACAAAAGCAAUAUGUGUAAGCACUGAUCUCAAGUUAAA